Phacochoerus africanus (Common warthog) is the source of this 1433-nucleotide long non-coding RNA. RefSeq lists it as uncharacterized. The record is from RefSeq and is a predicted model, not a curated record. The transcript is spliced from 5 exons. Lineage: Eukaryota; Metazoa; Chordata; Mammalia; Artiodactyla; Suidae.
CACGUACUUUCUCAGUGCACUUCUACCCAGGCGAUGUUCUUCUGACUCUCGGUAGUAAGUCUGCUUGCCAAUUUCCCUUUCCCAAAAGCGUUUGAGCUCGUGACAGGUGUUCCGGCAGAAGACCUCUCGGCGGACGUACUGAUUGUUCAUCCCCUGAAAAAGAAGAUAUCAGCUGAACCCUCAUAGAAGGACUUUGGAAGGUCUCCAGGAAAUUCCAAAGUGAGGGAGGUUUGGCAGCAAUAAUGGAACUGACUGACAACAGAGCCUGCAGAGACACAAAACCUGAGGGUAGCAAAACUUGGUCUGAUGGAGGAGCUGAGAUUGUACCAAGUGGAGGGGACCCUUGCUGCUUUUCUCUCUCUGUCCUCUCAUCCUGUGUCCCCAGAUGUGAUUGCAGCCACCAGAAGUGCACGGCAGAGCAGGUAACCAAAGCCUCAAGUUUCUGGCCAAAGGACUGAAAAAGGAGAGUUCAGAGGAUUGGAAAUAACCAAGGAUACCAUGGAGGAAUUCAUCUUAUCAGAGCCUUGGUACAUGAACACUGGCACUGAUUUUUGGCUUUCUCACAGAGUUCAACUUGUUUUGAAUGUAUCACUUAAAUUUACAAAGUAGAGAAAACCCUUAUUAAGAUUUUUAGAUCAUUCUCAAGCAGAUACAAGUGAGAAUUCAGAAGGAAAGGUGAACCCCAGUGGCUGAAAAAGACAGUAACAAGGAGUAUACCUAUCACUUCCCCCAAGAGGUGCAAGAUGAACUUCCAUCCCAGGCACACCCGAGUUCAACAUCCUUUACCUUUGAAAUGAAUCUGCUGCUGUCUUGAGAGGACGGUAAAGAGGUGUGACUGCCUAGUGGAGCAGCAGAACCAGAACAUGCAGUGGAGGUUUUUGCAUCAGGGAAAGAGGGAGGCAGACUUGGAAGGCACUCUUCAAAGCAUCAGCUAUUCAAAAUGAUAGCAAGAACAGUGCUGAUACCACUGGACCAUAUAUACAGCUUAUGGAAAUUCCCUGGCCAGGGAUCAAACCUGUGCCACAGCGAUCCAAGCCAAUGCAGUGACAAUUCUGGAACCCAAACAGCUGUACCAUAGGAGAACUCCAAUGGGAAAACAUUUUUGAUUACAAGAGUUUCCUCAAAUUUUUUUGAAGCCAUCAUCAAGUCCUUUAAGAAAAAAACUUAUCCAAUUAAGCUUCUGAAGUGUUGCUACUUUCCCUGUGCUCACAAGUGAUCUGAAAACCUACUUAAUCCCCUAGCAUGGAAUUUCACAGCCUCCAUAAUUUGUUUAUUUCAAAGGACAAACAUUUGUGAUCUUCCUAAUUUGAUUGAAUUUUUUUUUUUCAUUUUAGGGCCACAUCCUCGGCAUAUGGAAGUUCCCAGGCUAGAGGUAGAAAUGAGAGCUAUAACAGCUAGCCUACACCACAGCCACAGUAACUUGGGAUCCGAGC